Molecule: small RNA, 125 nt
Filed under: Rhizobium sp. BK399
Lineage: Bacteria; Pseudomonadati; Pseudomonadota; Alphaproteobacteria; Hyphomicrobiales; Rhizobiaceae
Description: ar14
Rfam family: Alphaproteobacterial ar14
About the family: Smr14C2 was renamed NfeR1 (Nodule Formation Efficiency RNA) highly expressed in salt stress and during the symbiotic interaction on legume roots.
Source: RNAcentral
GUUACGUGAAGGGCCAACCCUCCUCCCAUGGCUCUUUGCAAUGGACAGCAACAAUCCUCCUCCCAGUUGCUGUUCUACUCUUUCAGAAGAGCCUGCCGCACCUCCUCCCGCGGCAGGCUUUUUUG